GAUGAACGCUAGCGGCAGGCCUAACACAUGCAAGUCGAGGGAGAAGCCCUUUCGGGGGCAGAAACCGGCGCACGGGUGCGUAACGCGUAUGCAACCUACCUUUCACAGGGGGAUAGCCCGAAGAAAUUUGGAUUAAUACCCCAUAAUAUUAUUGGAUGGCAUCAUUUGAUAAUUAAAACUGCGGUGGUGAAAGAUGGGCAUGCGUCCUAUUAGCUAGUUAGAGUGGUAACGGCACCCCAAGGCUACGAUAGGUAGGGGUCCUGAGAGGGAGAUCCCCCACACUGGUACUGAGACAGGGACCAGACUCCUACGGGAGGCAGCAGUGAGGAAUAUUGGUCAAUGGUCGGAAGACUGAACCAGCCAUGCCGCGUGCAGGAAGAAUGCCUUAUGGGUUGUAAACUGCUUUUAUAUGGGAAGAAUAAGGCGUACGUGUACGUUGAUGACGGUACCAUAUGAAUAAGCAUCGGCUAACUCCGUG
RNAcentral lists this ribosomal RNA (478 nucleotides) under uncultured bacterium. Its description in RNAcentral is "partial 16S ribosomal RNA". It matches the Rfam family "Bacterial small subunit ribosomal RNA", at positions 28 to 507 of the family's 1533-position model. The record is from RNAcentral.